CGUGGCGGGGCGGGCGCCGGAGUCACGUGGCCGGGCGCGCGGCGGCGGCGCGAUGGUGGAGCAGGAGGGCGGCGGCGGCUCGGGCGGCAUCAGCGAGGAGGAGGCGGCGCAGUACGACCGGCAGAUCCGGCUGUGGGGGCUGGAGGCGCAGCGCCGGCUGCGAGCGUCCCGGGUGCUGCUGGUUGGCAUGAAGGGUCUGGGAGCAGAAGUGGCGAAGAACCUCAUCUUGGCAGGCGUCAAAGGCCUGACCAUGCUCGACCAUCAGCAGGUAUCGCAGGAGGACACGAGAGCUCAGUUCCUGAUUCCCGUGGGCUCGCUGGGCCGCAACAGAGCCGAAGCCUCUUUGGAACGGGCUCAGAACCUCAACCCCAUGGUAGACGUGAAAGCUGACCCGGAGAAUAUCGAAAACAAAGCCGAAGAUUUCUUUACUCAGUUUGAUGCUGUGUGCCUGACCUGCUGCUCCCGCUGCGUCCUGGUGAGGGUCGAUCAGAUCUGCCACAAAAGUGGCAUCAAGUUCUUCACCGGGGACAUCUUUGGCUACUAUGGCUACAUGUUCGCCAACCUGGGGGCGCACGAGUUCGUGGAAGAGAAGACCAAGGUCACCAAAGCCAGCCAGGGAGUGGAAGAUGGGCCCGACACCAAAAAAGUCAAGCUCGAUUCAACAGAGACAACCAUGGUGAAAAAGCGGGUGGUUUUCUGCCAGCUGAAGGAGGCGCUGGCAGUCGACUGGAGCAGUGAGAAGGCGAAGGCAGCCCUGAAGCGCACCUCCCCGGACUACUUCCUGCUCCAGGUGCUGCUGAAAUUCCGGACGGAUAAAGGGAGGGACCCGUUGCCGGAGAGCUGUGCCGAAGACUCGGAGCUGCUGUUGCAGAUCCGAAAUGAGGUGCUGGACUCCCUGGGUGUCAGUGCAGACCUGCUGCCUGACGACUUCAUCAGGUGCGCUGGUUUGGCUGCAGUCCAGUGUCGGGGCUGGGAUCGGGACUCUAGGCCUGGUGCCAAGCAUGCGGUUCAGUCACAUCCUCACGGGAGAGUACCUUCCCUUGGCCAGCUAUUGCUUCUCUGAAAUGGCUCCCGUCUGCGCAGUGCUUGGAGGUGUCCUGGGACAGGAGGUCGUCAAGGCCCUGUCCCAGCGGGAUCCACCCCACAACAACUUCUUCUUCUUCGAUGGCAUCAAAGGGAACGGGGUCGUUGAGUGCCUGGGUCCCCGCUGAGCCUGGAGUCGCUGGCCUCCCAGUGCGUCUGCCUGCAGCUGCGGGUCAGCACCCGGUGCCCCUGGAGCCCCCGCAGCAUAGCCCUGGAGUGCCACUUGCACCACCGUCCCCUCCAGCUGCAGCCCUGCGGCCAGCACAGACAUGGCCCCCACGGGUGCCGGAGGGGCGUAGCCCUGCUGAGGCCUGUGCCCGGGAGGGGGAGCAAUCCUCCACUUGCUCGCCCUGUGCAUUCUCCUGGGCUCUCAAAUAAACUCUCUUCUUCCCAA
RNA transcript from Chelonia mydas (Green sea turtle), 1477 nucleotides. It is a transcript of the gene named SUMO1 activating enzyme subunit 1, with no coding region annotated. The transcript is spliced from 9 exons. Lineage: Eukaryota; Metazoa; Chordata; Testudines; Cheloniidae. The record is from RefSeq and is a predicted model, not a curated record.